AUCUCCUUACCCAGUAACCGAUAAUGGAUAAUAAAUUUAUGCUCCUCCUGCGUUGAAGUCUAUUUCUUCCCCAGUUGAGUUGAGUGCGCAUUUCCUCAGUGAAAUCGCUUUUCCUGCAUGAGUUGAGUACUUCGGUUUUAUCCUGAUCUACUCGUUUCGCCUGCAAAUGUUUUUGUUUCCUCGACUGAGUCCUUCCAUUUUUUAUGGAAUUCCUC
This 215-nucleotide long non-coding RNA is filed under the name Lathyrus oleraceus (garden pea). RNAcentral describes it as "Pisum sativum (pea) long non-coding RNA (PSAT_LNC000082)". Lineage: Eukaryota; Viridiplantae; Streptophyta; Magnoliopsida; Fabales; Fabaceae. The record is from RNAcentral.